UAGUUUAGUGGUAGAACAUGUGCUUUGCACGUAUAAGACCCUGAGUUCGAUCCCCAG
Molecule: transfer RNA, 57 nt
Filed under: Cavia porcellus (domestic guinea pig)
Lineage: Eukaryota; Metazoa; Chordata; Mammalia; Rodentia; Caviidae
Rfam family: tRNA
About the family: Transfer RNA (tRNA) molecules are approximately 80 nucleotides in length. Their secondary structure includes four short double-helical elements and three loops (D, anti-codon, and T loops).
Source: Rfam by way of RNAcentral